CCUACGGGUGGCAGCAGUGGGGAAUCUUGCGCAAUGGGCGCAAGCCUGACCCAGCAACGCCGCGUGAAGGAAGAAGGCUUUCGGGUUGUAAACUUCUUUUGUCAGGGAAGAGUAGUAGACGGUACCUGACGAAUAAGCCACGGCUAACUUCGUGCCAGCAGCCGCGGUAAUACGUAGGGGGCAAGCGUUGUCCGGAUUUACUGGGUGUAAAGGGCGUGUAGCCGGGUUGACAAGUCAGAUGUGAAAUCCUGCGGCUUAACCGCAGAACUGCAUUUGAAACUGUUGAUCUUGAGUACUGGAGAGGCAGACGGAAUUCCUAGUGUAGCGGUGAAAUGCGUAGAUAUUAGGAGGAACACCAGUGGCGAAGGCGGUCUGCUGGACAGCAACUGACGGUGAGGCGCGAAAGCGUGGGGAGCAAACAGGAUUAGAUACCCCAGUAGUC
RNAcentral lists this ribosomal RNA (442 nucleotides) under uncultured bacterium. RNAcentral describes it as "partial 16S ribosomal RNA". It matches the Rfam family "Bacterial small subunit ribosomal RNA", at positions 338 to 795 of the family's 1533-position model. The record is from RNAcentral.